This 457-nucleotide ribosomal RNA is filed under the name Rana coreana (Korean brown frog). RNAcentral's name for it is "partial large subunit ribosomal RNA". It matches the Rfam family "Bacterial large subunit ribosomal RNA", at positions 1924 to 2550 of the family's 2925-position model. Lineage: Eukaryota; Metazoa; Chordata; Amphibia; Anura; Ranidae. The record is from RNAcentral.
UCAACGGCCGCGGUACCCUAACCGUGCGAAGGUAGCAUAAUCACUUGUUCUUUAAAUAGGGACUUGUAUCAACGGCACUACGAGGGUUAUACUGUCUCCUCUUUCCAAUCAGUGAAACUGAUCUCCCCGUGAAGAAGCGGGGAUUAUCAUAUAAGACGAGAAGACCCCAUGGAGCUUUAAACUCACCAUACACCUCUAUGUUACCAUAUCCCAUAGCACAAGAGACCUGUAUGUUAGUUUUAGGUUGGGGGGACCACGGAGCACAACUUAACCUCCAUAACAAAUGGGCUAACACCCUUAUCCACGAGACACAACUCUAAGAAUUACUAAACUAAUGCUUAUGACCCGAUAUUCGAUCAAUGAACCAAGUUACCCUGGGGAUAACAGCGCAAUCUACUUCAAGAGCUCAUAUCGACAAGUAGGUUUACGACCUCGAUGUUGGAUCAGGGUAUCCCGG